UUCGAUGCAAAGCGAAGAACUUUACCAGGGCUUGACAUGCCGGAAUCCUCUUGAAAGAGAGGGGUGCCUUCGGGAACACGGACACAGGUGGUGCAUGGCUGUCGUCAGCUCGUGCGUAAGGUGUCGGGUUAAGUCCCGCAACGAGCGCAAUCCUCGUGUUUAGUUGCCAUCAUUGAGUUUAUACAUCAGGGACGAAGACAAGGCACAUAUCUUAAUACUUCAA
Molecule: non-coding RNA, 223 nt
Filed under: Daucus carota subsp. sativus
Lineage: Eukaryota; Viridiplantae; Streptophyta; Magnoliopsida; Apiales; Apiaceae
Description: Bacterial small subunit ribosomal RNA
Rfam family: Bacterial small subunit ribosomal RNA
Source: Rfam by way of RNAcentral